CAUAAUGUAAAUCUUUGUCCAACAUUUGACCGUCCGUCUUAUUUAAAAUAUUUAUAAAAACUUUUUUAAAGAAUAGUCACACAUAAAAUACUAUUCAUAUUUUAUCAUUUAAUAAUAAUAAAAAUAGUAAUCAUAAAAAUUUUCACAUAAGAUGAACGGUCAAACGUUGAAGAUGAAUAGUACAAAAUUGCACUUAUU
Molecule: microRNA precursor, 198 nt
Organism: Oryza sativa Japonica Group (Japanese rice)
Lineage: Eukaryota; Viridiplantae; Streptophyta; Magnoliopsida; Poales; Poaceae
Rfam family: MIR812 microRNA precursor family
Source: Rfam